This 443-nucleotide ribosomal RNA is filed under the name uncultured bacterium. RNAcentral's name for it is "partial 16S ribosomal RNA". It matches the Rfam family "Bacterial small subunit ribosomal RNA", at positions 338 to 795 of the family's 1533-position model. The record is from RNAcentral.
CCUACGGGUGGCAGCAGUGGGGAAUAUUGGGCAAUGGGCGCAAGCCUGACGCAGCAACGCCGCGUGAAGGAAGAAGGUUUUCGGGUUGUAAACUUCUUUUCUCAGGGACGAUGAAUGUGACGUUACAUGAGUAAUAAGCCACGGCUAACUACGGGCCAGCCGCCGUGGUAAUACGUAGGGGGCAAGCGGUAACCGGAUUUAUUGGGAGUAAAGGGCGUGGAGGCGGGAGCGCAAGUCAGAUGUGAAAACUCAGGGCUCAACCCUGGGCCUGCAUUUGAAACUGUGUUUCUUGAGUGUUGGAGAGGUAAGCGGAAUUCCGGGUGUAGCGGUGAAAUGCGUAGAGAUACGGAGGAACACCAGUGGCGAAGGCGGAUUGCUGGACAGUAACUGACGCUGAGGCGCGAAAGCGUGGGGAGCAAACAGGAUUAGAUACCCCUGUAGUC